Molecule: non-coding RNA, 96 nt
Filed under: Oscillatoria sp.
Lineage: Bacteria; Bacillati; Cyanobacteriota; Cyanophyceae; Oscillatoriales; Oscillatoriaceae
Also listed under: 1 other name
Description: TPP sequence
Rfam family: TPP riboswitch aptamer (THI element)
About the family: Vitamin B(1) in its active form thiamin pyrophosphate (TPP) is an essential coenzyme that is synthesised by coupling of pyrimidine and thiazole moieties in bacteria. The previously detected thiamin-regulatory element, thi box was extended, resulting in a new, highly conserved RNA secondary structure, the THI element, which is widely distributed in eubacteria and also occurs in some archaea.
Source: RNAcentral
AACUUAAGCUAGGGGUGCCUGGAUAUCCAGGCUGAGAAACACCCUUAGAACCUGAGUCUGGGUAAUACCAGCGGAGGGAAGCUGUUUAUCGAGGAA